GAAAACACAACGACAUUAACUUCUAACGGAAAAGGUAGGGCCUAUCUAGCAGAGGACGGAACGGAACCUCCUGAUUGGACAGAAGGACCGCCUGUCUUUUAACAGGAAGGAGGGGUGAAAAACACGGAAAAGCGCCUAUUUUCAAAACAUGAGUACUCCCGAAGAUACUUUCGCUAUUAUAAUGAAUUAUUUUGAUGCAGGGCAUACAUACGACGUGGUAGUUGAUAUGUUGUCAACCAAUCACAACAUCAGGAUGAUUAUACGCACGGGUUGUACAGAAGGAACAACUAUUCACAACUGGAUGAGGUGAGACGUGCCAUCCUUACAGAGCUGCAUGGACCAGGGCAAGGGCAAGGAACGGAUGCGAGAACAAGCCGGAGAAAAAGCGACUGCUGUGUCCCUAGAGGAUGUCCUGCUGUUUGCUACAGGGCUCGCAUCACUUCCACCUGCUGGAAUAACACCACUACCAUGCAUCGAGUUCUUACCAAAUUCGCCAUUCCCUAUGUCAAACACCUGUGCAAAUGCAUUAAAGCUCCUUUUCCUUGAGACCUACAGUGUCUUUUAGACAAACAUGGAGUUUUGCUUACAGAAUUCUCCAGGCUUUGGGUGCAUUUAAUGCUGUGCCAAGUCUGGAUUUUGCCCAGUCUUAAAUCUGUAGUUUAUAAAGCAUAAGAGUGCAUGCUCAGUUCAAAGUAUUUUAAUGUGUAUUAUUUCUGUUCAUUACUUUGUUCAAUGAAAAAUCACAGAAUUUUUUUUAAGUACAGGUCACAUUACAAGUAACAGUAAAAUUGUACUCAGCUAAAAUGUAUGUAGUUUCACAUUUGAAACAGUGUAUAACAUGUUGUGCUUGCAAACAAGCUUGUUAACAAUACCUCUUGAAAAGAACCACGUUUCUUUGGUUGUUCAGACCUACAAUUGACACACAGUUAACUCGAUGGUGAAUCCGAAAAUAAACAAAUAUAGUUUGGGAGUUA
Esox lucius (northern pike) is the source of this 974-nucleotide long non-coding RNA. RefSeq lists it as uncharacterized. The record is from RefSeq and is a predicted model, not a curated record. The transcript is spliced from 2 exons. Lineage: Eukaryota; Metazoa; Chordata; Actinopteri; Esociformes; Esocidae.